RNAcentral lists this long non-coding RNA (1209 nucleotides) under Homo sapiens (human). RNAcentral's name for it is "long non-coding RNA NONHSAT122689.2". The record is from RNAcentral. Lineage: Eukaryota; Metazoa; Chordata; Mammalia; Primates; Hominidae.
GAGCGCCGCUGCCUGGUCUGGAGAACCCCGCGGAGCUGGCCUGGCCCGACCCGGCCCGGCCCGGUCCGCGGCGCGGUGGUCGAGGGCCCGCGGCGCCUUCUGGGAGCGGGAGGGCCGGGAAGCCGGGCGUUGGUGGAGGGAGGCGUUGGGCUUCUGUCGCCGCGAAGCUGGCGGAAAAGGCAGUGGCCAGCGAGCCGCCUCGCCAGUUCCCACGACUCCCAGGGAGGUGGCGACACCCGCUUCCCGGGCCACCCUUUUCCCCUUCCUGACCGGGGUCCGUGCUUGCCUUCCCAGGUGUGAAGAAAAAAAUGACACUCCAAUGGGCUGCAGUGGCAACCUUUCUUUAUGCCGAAAUAGGACUCAUUUUAAUCUUCUGCCUACCUUUUAUUCCUCCUCAGAGAUGGCAGAAGAUUUUUUCAUUUAAUGUCUGGGGUAAAAUUGCAACUUUUUGGAACAAGGCUUUCCUUACCAUUAUCAUCCUAUUGAUUGUUCUAUUUCUAGAUGCUGUGAGAGAAGUAAGGAAAUAUUCCUCAGUUCAUACCAUUGAGAAGAGCUCCACCAGCAGACCUGAUGCCUAUGAACACACACAGAUGAAACUUUUUAGGUCUCAAAGAAAUCUUUACAUUUCUGGAUUUUCCCUAUUUUUUUGGCUAGUUUUGAGACGUCUGGUUACGCUUAUUACUCAACUGGCAAAAGAACUGUCAAACAAAGGUGUACUUAAAACUCAAGCAGAAAAUACUAACAAGGCUGCCAAAAAAUUUAUGGAAGAAAACGAAAAACUAAAAAGGAUUUUGAAAAGCCAUGGUAAAGAUGAAGAAUGUGUUUUGGAAGCAGAAAAUAAAAAACUAGUAGAAGACCAGGAGAAACUGAAAACUGAAUUAAGGAAGACUUCAGAUGCCCUUUCUAAGGCACAAAAUGAUGUGAUGGAAAUGAAGAUGCAGUCAGAGAGACUUUCGAAAGAAUAUGAUCAACUCCUGAAAGAACACUCUGAACUUCAGAAGCAAAGGGAGAUAUUACCACACAGAAGAGGAGAAAGCACAGUGACCACAGAGGCAGAGAUUGGAGUGAUGGAGCCGCAGCAAAGGAAUGCUGACAGCCACCAGAAGCUGGAGGAGGCAAAGAACAGAUUCUUCCCCAGAGCCUCUUCCAGCAGGAGCAUGGCCCUACAGAUACCGAUAAAACUGAUAUUGGACUUCCUGGCCUCCAGAA